AUAAAGCAGGAUUUUUAAUAUAUAGUACCAAAAUUAAUUCUUCUAGAUCAGUGUGGUUCACUGAUUUAAGAAGAAUAAAUAACCUGCAUGGGUUAUAUAGAUACAAUGCUCCACGAGCUGAUAAUAUCCUGAUACAGAAACAAAAGCAGACAGACAGAACUUUUCUUGAACCAACAGUACCAAAAGAGAGUCAACCAACAGUAACAAACAUCCAGUCACCCAACAGCCACGUGCACAUAACAACUUUAGGGAACAUCAGUAACCACUCCAAGCUCAGAUGAGAAAUCAGUUAUCUCAGGCAGGGACCCAGUAUCAUCUACAACAGUAGAGGCAAUUAACUCUUUUUCCUUAAUCAUUGUAUUAAUCUCAGAGUUAACUUACUCAUAAGUAAUUUCUUGUGCUACUCUUUUUCCCUUAGCCUUAUCUAGCUCAGUAGUUACUUCCAAAUAUUUAGUCUUUAAAUCCUUAAUCUUAUCAUUUGAAUCUUUUAGCAUUAUUUUAAGGAUUUCAUUUUCCCUCAUGUAAUCAUGCGUGAUUUCUUCCUUAGCUCUACCUACAGGAAUGCUCCUAUACGGUUUAAUUUCCUCAAGUGGGACCUUAGGAACUACUAUCUUUUCAACAUUACAGUAGUCAAUCCUAUUAGCAUGGCCCCUAGGCAUAGGAAUACUAUACAGCUCAAAAACCGCAGUUAACAGCAACCCGUAAGGCAUAAAAUCCAAUUGAUAAGCCAGAAACAUAUGCAAGAUAAGCACAUAGAUAAUGUUGAACUCAACUUUGUUAAUAACUAACUGAUACAUCACUUUUAAAUCAGCAAAGUCGAAAUAUUGAUCAUUAUCCGGUUUCGGCAGAAUAUUAGCCCUAAUAAUCAUAGCAAGUUGUUGAUAUUCGGGCAGAAAAUGCUUAAAGGGUAUCCCACAAUCAGCAACACUUAGUCCAGUUGGCACAAGCUCCCCACAAGCCAGAAACAUAUGCAAGAUAAGCACAUAGAUAAUGUUGAACUCAACUUUGUUAAUAACUAACUGAUACAUCACUUUUAAAUCAGCAAAGUCGAAAUAUUGAUCAUUAUCCGGUUUCGGCAGAAUAUUAGCCCUAAUAAUCAUAGCAAGUUGUUGAUAUUCGGGCAGAAAAUGCUUAAAAGGUAUCCCACAAUCAGCAACACUUAGUCCAGUUGGCACAAGCUCCCCACAGAAAAAGCUAAUAAAUUUUUCAAAUUCAGUUUGAUUGAAUUUAAAUAAUUCAUAGAUAUUUGAGCAUGUUUGGGGGAAUAGUUCGGGACUAAGUUGUAAAGCCCUACACAUAACAUGAAAGUUCACGUGUAUUUCUUGAUUAUUAACCACUGAACUUAUAUCAAAUAUCCCAUUAUCAUCCUUUUUAGUUACCAUAUUAGCAUAAAAUUCACCCAUUAAAUGUGGAUGGUAACUCUGUCCCCGAUAAAAAAUAAUAUUACCCCACUUACUAUUCAUCAGUAUGUUGAAGGCAGGACACUGCUUAGGCACGUAAGCCAUCAUCCCGGGCUGGAUAGCCUUCAUCAUUUUUCCUAAUUUCCCAACGUUAGACAGAUUCACCAAACGCGGCACCAUGUGACUCAGAUUAUUUUUCCUCCUCUGAUAGGUUAAGGUAGGGACAGGAGGGUUGGGGUAGUUGUGUUUGUGAGGUUUUUGGUUGGGGUAGUAGGGAAAUGCAGGGGCUGGUGGAGUCUCGACAUUAUAUCCCGUGGGAUAAAAGUUGGGGAAAGGGUGAUUGUGUAGUGGAUUUGGGUUAGUGAUAGGGUGGUAGGGUUUGGCAUUUGGGUUAAGGUGGUGGUUGGUUUUGUGUCUUUUAGGGUGUGAGGAUUGGCUUUGGUGGUAGUUUCUGUUAUGGUUAAGGGAAUGAGGUUGAGGUUCAAGUAAAUCAGGGUGGUAGACAGGGUCACGGUUAGGGUUAGGGUUGGAGAGUUGUUUAAACUCCAUGGUUAGGGGAAAGGUGAUAGUGAUAGUGUAUGGUUUUUGGUGUAAAGGUGAAAGUGAUUGGGCAGUUGCCUUAAAUAGGCAAUAAAUAAGGUGCUGUUUGGGUAAGGGAAUAAGGGAAUAAGUUGAAAAAGACACUGCCGAGUGUCUGUGAAUGUGUGUGUUGGUUUAAAUUUGUUCCUUUGUGUGUGUGGGGUCAUAUCCAAAAGUGAAGCAUUAACUCUUCUUAAAUGCUCCAACUGGCAAAGGACAAGGUGAGGUAAGCAAGAGAUGCACAAAGGACAUCUCUGGCAAGGUUCAGAGGAGAAACUUCUCCAAGUCAAGGCGCCACUUAGCCAUUUUUAGUAUUAAAAAAUCUUCUGAUUAAGUUUUUGAAAAUCAAUUGGACUGACUGAUGUGAUAAGCAUCAAGACUUUUGAAAACUCCACUUUUGCACAUAAGAAUCGAAGCACAUAAUUCCAGUUUUUAAAAAAUGUUAAACACUUGUCCAUCCAUUUUAAUUAAAAUCCGUUCGCUCAAAUCUCUUGGGAAAACUCCUAAAUCUAUGUGGCCAUGUUACACCCCAGUGUUCCAGAUACUGGAAAUCUCAGGGAUUCCCAGCCAAGUCUUAGAGUGCUAGGCAAGUGUGUGUUUUGUGUAUUUGAUUUUAAUCAUGCAUCGAUUUAUUAAGCCAGAAUACACAAAGUUUUAACACAUUCAGCUUGUCACAAAAUUUUCAUACAACCAUUUUGAAAUGCAAUUAAUACAAGUCAGAGAUUUCAUGCACCUUAGGGACAAGAUUUUCAAAAAUCACAGACUGACAUUACAACUAGCAAGUUCAGGCAACAGAUUAAGCAGAAAUCGAAGAUUUUCAUUUUAACAUGCAAGUUUAGUAGCCAAUCCAGUUUUAACGAAAUUCCAAUUUCUUAAUAUAUUGAGAUUGGAAAGCUUAAGGCAUAUCUUGUUCGACAUUUUGUAAAAACAGUUUAUUCAAUUUAUCAAAAUCAGUCGAAUAGAGUUUUAUGAAAAAGUCGAAAAAAAACGUUUAAGUUUUCAUGAAAUCGAUUUUUCAAACAAUAAAGCAGCAUACAGCAUAAAUUCGAACAGUCCAUCACAAUUUUAAAAAUAUGCUUGUCAUGCAUAAAUCCCAAUAAAAUCCAUCCUUCCCGAAAAUUCACCACCUGCAAAAACUCUCAACACAUAAGUUAGAUAGUGGACACUAGAUUUUUAACCAUUUUGAAACAGAUUAAAAGGAAUUAGUCGGUCAUAUCUAACUGUCUCAUGCAAAAUUUCAUUUUAUCAACGUUUUACAAAGAGUUUUCCAGAAUUUUAUCAUAUAGACCAUGACAGCUUUCAUAAAUUUCUAACAAGCAAGAUUCAAGAGACAUGGCAUAACAAAUCAUGGUUAUCACAGAUUUGAGUAACAGAUUGAGCAGAAAAUCCAUGUUAAUAUGCAAAGAUCGAUAUUAUCACGAUUCAAUUUAUCAGGUAGAAACCAAUUGUCACACAUAAACCCAAAUUUACAGUUUCCAAAGUAGCAAAUCUGCAGAAUAGAUAGUGGCACCCCUAUGUUCUAAGCAAGUUUCAAACAGACAAAGUCACGUACCAAAUUAAGCGGCUUAAAAACAAAAUUUGCACAUAACAAAUUGUUACCAAAAAUCAACCAUGUUUUAAUCUUCAAGAAAACUUGCGAGUGUCAUGCAUACAAUUUUCUCAGUCAAUAAACAGAAUAUCACAGAUUUAUCAAUAUUAAGAACAAAUUCAAUUAAUUUAAGCAUGCCCGUAAUCAAUUCUCUAUACCCAAGCCAACCACAUAUUACAUUAUGAUUACAGAACCAGUUUAGUCAAGUCAUCUCAUACGCCCAACCAGACAUGUAUCAGCAAGCUACAAGCAUACAAACAUCGAAUAUGCAUAAAACUGUAAUUCACAAGUCGAAUCAAAAUACCAGCAAGCAAAAUUAUGGAUAUUUUGUUGUUUUAUAUUUCAAAAUACAUAUCUCAGUAUAAGUCGCAUAUAACAUAUAAAUCGGAUCAGAUGUAUAUAUUAGCAUGUUGUGGCAUACAUCAUAUAAAACAGAUAACAUACACAGAUAUGGAGUAAGAUUGACUUACCUGAGCCAAGGCAUCGAAUCUCUUGGACUUACCAGUGGACUGAUUUAAGUUAGAUGGAGAGGUUGAAAUCUUUAAGCGAGCUACAAGCAUCGACAGGCUCAGAUUCGUUCCAAAUCGCUUCGCCGAGUCAAGAAUCUUUGCACAGCUAUCAAACUCAACUCAAGAUCGAGUUAGGGUUUGAAAACCCCAAACUCUCAACGCGAUUAAAUCGCCCUCGAGAGAGAUGAUAGGGCCGAGUCAGAGGCUUAAACGAUCAAACACACAUCAAAUACUCGUCGUCGACUCGAGAUCGAGUUAGGGAGUGAAAACCCUAACUCUCAAAGACAUCUGAAUUGCUUCUCGAGUUCGAUACGAGGCAUCAUUAAGCCCAGAAAACACCAACAAAGCAUCAAUUAGACUCGUCUCCGAUUAGGGUUUGAAAACCCUAAAAAUUAAAAUCUGCAAAAACUCAAAGAUUAACGUUUACGCGAGCUCCAAAGCUUUAGAUCGAGUGAUUUCCUGCAAAAACACUCAAGAAAAACAUUAGUAUACAUCCAAGAGUCAAACCCUCAAAACAGGGUUUCAAAAAUCGAACUAUAGAUCAUCAAAGCGGGACUAUAUAUAUAUAUAGCUGUCUGGCUCCAACCUUAUCUCGCCGUCGAUUACGACGCCGGCGAGUACGGAGGUUGAAGACCACUUUUUCUCUUACCAAACCCAUAACAAAUUGAAGAGGUUUAUCGAAACUGAUGAUAAAACUCAAGAGAGGGAGUGUAUAUCUGAAGAGUUUUAGGAGAAAACACCGAAAGAUCCCAUCGGAUUUUGAUCGGAGACUCAAAGGAGUUCUCGAGUCAUCGAGCAAAGCCGAGAGAAAAAUAAAGAAAAUGAGGCGAGGGUUUUGUGUGUACAGUGGAGUAACACUGUUAAUAUAUAUAUAAACACAAAUCGAUGGCUAGGAUGAAGUAGGGUUAGUUUGCACGGCUGAGAUCAGAAAGUAAAAGCUGGGCCGGGUUAAACGAAUUUUGAGCUGGGUUGGUACAGAUUUGGACCGAGUGAAUAAGAUUUGGACUGAAAAAAAAUCUCCUGGGCUUUAGUUUUAAUGAAAUUGAAAUUUUGAAGACUUUUAUUCACAGUCCAAAAGCAAUAUUCCACCCGAUUUCGAAAGAUAUAUAUUUGAAGAUUUUCGGAAUAAAAUAUAUAUAACUCAAAAAUAUUAAUAAAUAAUAAACUAUCCUCUUAUUGUAAUAAAUUAUCCAAUUUUGAAGAAUGAUGUAUUUUGAAGAAAAUACUGGAUAAAAUAUUAUAAAGAGCAAUAGUCUAUAGAUAUUAAUCCUAAAUAUCUAAAACAAUUAAUUACAGGAAUAAAUAAUAU
This 5385-nucleotide long non-coding RNA is filed under the name Daucus carota (carrot). Its description in RNAcentral is "long non-coding RNA (DCAR_LNC007647)". Lineage: Eukaryota; Viridiplantae; Streptophyta; Magnoliopsida; Apiales; Apiaceae. The record is from RNAcentral.